Molecule: long non-coding RNA, 305 nt
Filed under: Capsicum annuum
Lineage: Eukaryota; Viridiplantae; Streptophyta; Magnoliopsida; Solanales; Solanaceae
Description: long non-coding RNA (CANN_LNC013326)
Source: RNAcentral
UCAUCUUCUUGACAAAUGUCCCCGGAGAAAUUAAAAUCGAGAAGCACCCUGAAGUGUGGUAUAACAAAGUGAUCCAUCUAUCUUCUAAUAUGAAACUUCUGAUUCGAGCAUUAAAAAAAAAAAAUAGAUAAUUUUUUCCUUAAAUUGUAGUAUCUUUAAACACAAAUUUAAAGUAGAGUGGAGGGGGAAAUAGGUUAGAUUAGAAGUUAGAAUUGUACACAUGAGUUGGGUAGAGUAGAGUUUAGGUGAGUAACUCCAAUUCCAAUAAAUAAAUGUAGAAUUAGUUGUUACAAUGUGGACAAUAA